This 253-nucleotide ribosomal RNA is filed under the name uncultured bacterium. RNAcentral's name for it is "partial 16S ribosomal RNA". It matches the Rfam family "Bacterial small subunit ribosomal RNA", at positions 524 to 776 of the family's 1533-position model. The record is from RNAcentral.
UACGUAGGGGGCAAGCGUUGUCCGGAAUUAUUGGGCGUAAAGAGCGUGUAGGCGGUCCGGUAAGUCAGCUGUGAAAGUCAAGGGCUCAACCCUUGAAUGCCGGUUGAUACUGUCGGGCUAGAGUCCGGAAGAGGCGGGUGGAAUUCCCGGUGUAGCGGUGAAAUGCGCAGAUAUCGGGAGGAACACCAAUGGCGAAGGCAGCUCGCUGGGACGGUACUGACGCUGAGACGCGAAAGCGUGGGGAGCAAACAGG